UUCAAAAUUGCACAAUGGGAACCACGGGC
This 29-nucleotide non-coding RNA is filed under the name Homo sapiens (human). Lineage: Eukaryota; Metazoa; Chordata; Mammalia; Primates; Hominidae. The record is from RNAcentral.